GACGAACGCUGGCGGCGUGCUUAACACAUGCAAGUCGAACGGGCCUGCCUGGCUUUGGUUGGGUGGGUGAGUGGCGAACGGGUGAGUAACACGUGAGUAACCUGCCCUCUUCUCUUGGAUAACUGCUUGAAAGGGCGGCUAAUACGGGAUGUUCUGGCUGCCUCGCAUGGGGUGGUUUGGAAAGAUUCGGCCUGGUUUUGGUUGUUUUGGUGGGGGAUGGGCUCGCGGCUUAUCAGCUUGUUGGUGGGGUGAUGGCCUACCAAGGCGGUGACGGGUAGCCGGCCUGAGAGGGUGGACGGUCACACUGGGACUGAGACACGGCCCAGACUCCUGCGGGAGGCAGCAGUGGGGGAUUUUGCACAAUGGGCGCAAGCCUGAUGCAGCGACGCCGCGUGAGGGAUGGAGGCCUUCGGGUUGUGAACCUCUGUCGCCGGUGAUGUAGGCUCUGCUUUGUGGGUGGGGUUGACGUAGCCGGGGAUAA
This 481-nucleotide ribosomal RNA is filed under the name Actinomyces sp. oral taxon 448. RNAcentral describes it as "bacterial SSU rRNA". It matches the Rfam family "Bacterial small subunit ribosomal RNA", at positions 28 to 488 of the family's 1533-position model. Lineage: Bacteria; Bacillati; Actinomycetota; Actinomycetes; Actinomycetales; Actinomycetaceae. The record is from RNAcentral.